GUCUGACCCCCCGAAACUAAGCGAGCUACUCUAAAGCAGUUUUAUAGAACCAACCCGUCCCUGUAGCAAAAGGGUGGGAAGACUUUAGAGUAGAGAUGACACACCUACCGAGCUUAGAGAUAGCUGGUUGUUCAUAAAAAGGAUCUUAGUCCAUCUUUAAGUUUCUCGAGUACUAUUAAACACCAAGUAGACUUAAAAGUCAUUCAAAUAGGGGACAGCCUAUUUGAAAAAGGACACAACCUAUAAUCCAGGGUAAUACCCCCCC
This 265-nucleotide ribosomal RNA is filed under the name Cophyla ando. RNAcentral's name for it is "partial large subunit ribosomal RNA". It matches the Rfam family "Bacterial large subunit ribosomal RNA", at positions 705 to 1051 of the family's 2925-position model. The record is from RNAcentral. Lineage: Eukaryota; Metazoa; Chordata; Amphibia; Anura; Microhylidae.